This 610-nucleotide ribosomal RNA is filed under the name Aspergillus niger. RNAcentral's name for it is "partial 28S ribosomal RNA". It matches the Rfam family "Eukaryotic large subunit ribosomal RNA", at positions 1 to 625 of the family's 3401-position model. Lineage: Eukaryota; Fungi; Ascomycota; Eurotiomycetes; Eurotiales; Aspergillaceae. The record is from RNAcentral.
UUGACCUCGGAUCAGGUAGGGAUACCCGCUGAACUUAAGCAUAUCAAUAAGCGGAGGAAAAGAAACCAACCGGGAUUGCCUCAGUAACGGCGAGUGAAGCGGCAAGAGCUCAAAUUUGAAAGCUGGCUCCUUCGGAGUCCGCAUUGUAAUUUGCAGAGGAUGCUUUGGGUGCGGCCCCCGUCUAAGUGCCCUGGAACGGGCCGUCAGAGAGGGUGAGAAUCCCGUCUUGGGCGGGGUGUCCGUGCCCGUGUAAAGCUCCUUCGACGAGUCGAGUUGUUUGGGAAUGCAGCUCUAAAUGGGUGGUAAAUUUCAUCUAAAGCUAAAUACUGGCCGGAGACCGAUAGCGCACAAGUAGAGUGAUCGAAAGAUGAAAAGCACUUUGAAAAGAGAGUUAAACAGCACGUGAAAUUGUUGAAAGGGAAGCGCUUGCGACCAGACUCGCCCGCGGGGUUCAGCCGGCAUUCGUGCCGGUGUACUUCCCCGUGGGCGGGCCAGCGUCGGUUUGGGCGGCCGGUCAAAGGCCCCUGGAAUGUAGUGCCCUCCGGGGCACCUUAUAGCCAGGGGUGCAAUGCGGCCAGCCUGGACCGAGGAACGCGCUUCGGCACGGACG